This 403-nucleotide ribosomal RNA is filed under the name uncultured bacterium. RNAcentral describes it as "partial 16S ribosomal RNA". It matches the Rfam family "Bacterial small subunit ribosomal RNA", at positions 28 to 526 of the family's 1533-position model. The record is from RNAcentral.
GACGAACGCUGGCGGCGUGCCUAAUACAUGCAAGUCGAACGCAGUGGGGACUGGUGAGUAACACGUGGUUAACCUCCCAUCAGAGGGGAUAACACUUGGAAACAGGUGCUAAACCGAUACUGAUGUAUUACCCCGCAGUGCAUUAGCUAGUUGGUGAGGUAGCGGCUCACCAAGGCCACGAUGCAUAGCGGACAUGCGGUGGCGGUCGGCCACACUGGGACUGAGACACGGCCCAGACUCCUACGGUAGGCAGCAGUAGGGAAUCUUCGGCAAUGGUCGAAAGUCUGACCGAGCAACGCCGCGUGAGUGAAGAAGGUUUUCGGAUCGUAAAUCUCUGUUGUUAGAGAAGCGGUAUCUAACCAGAAAGCCACGGCUAACUACGUGCCAGCAGCCGCGGUAAUUC